CUAAACCUAACGUUGCCCAGCAGCCCGCGGGUAAUACCGUAGGGGGUGCGGAGCGUUAUCCCGGGAAUUAUUGGGCGUAAAGAGCUCGUUAGGGCGGGUUUGUCGCGUCAGUCGUGAAAGUCCGGGGGCUUAACCCCGGAUCUGCGGUGGGUACGGGCAGACUAGAGUUGCAGUAGGGGAGACUGGAAUUCCUGGUGUAGCGGUGGAAUGCGCAGAUAUCAGGAGGAACACCGAUGGCGAAGGCAGGUCUCUGGGCUGUAACUGACGAUGAGGAGCGAAAGCAUGGGGAGCGAACAGGAUUAGAUACCCUGGUAGUCCAUGCCGUAAACGUUGGGCACUAGGUGUGGGGACCAUUCCACGGUUUCCGCGCCGCAGCUAACGCAUUAAGUGCCCCGCCUGGGGAGUACGGCCGCAAGGCUAAAACUCAAAGGAAUUGACGGGGGCCCGCACAAGCGGCGGAGCAUGCGGAUUAAUUCGAUGCAACGCGAAGAACCUUACCAAGGCUUGACAUGUUCUCGAUCGCCGUAGAGAUACGGUUUCCCCUUUGGGGCGGGUUCACAGGUGGUGCAUGGUUGUCGUCAGCUCGUGUCGUGAGAUGUUGGGUUAAGUCCCGCAACGAGCGCAACCCUCGUUCCAUGUUGCCAGCACGUAAUGGUGGGGACUCAUGGGAGACUGCCGGGGUCAACUCGGAGGAAGGUGAGGACGACGUCAAAUCAUCAUGCCCCUUAUGUCUUGGGCUUCACGCAUGCUACAAUGGCCGGUACAAUGGGUUGCGAUACUGUGAGGUGGAGCUAAUCCCAAAAAGCCGGUCUCAGUUCGGAUUGGGGUCUGCAACUCGACCCCAUGAAGUCGGAGUCGCUAGUAAUCGCAGAUCAGCAACGCUGC
This is a ribosomal RNA of 885 nucleotides. It matches the Rfam family "Bacterial small subunit ribosomal RNA", at positions 494 to 1360 of the family's 1533-position model.